UUGCAGAGAAAUUUCAAAGUUUACCCAGAGAGAAGACGAGCAUAUUUUCGAAACAUGGGAGUGAUUCAAUGAGCUACUCUUGAAGUGUCCACAUCAUCGGUA
This 102-nucleotide small nucleolar RNA is filed under the name Citrus x clementina. Its description in RNAcentral is "Citrus clementina snRNA snoR71". The record is from RNAcentral. Lineage: Eukaryota; Viridiplantae; Streptophyta; Magnoliopsida; Sapindales; Rutaceae.